GCUAGGUGUGGUGGCGCCCACCUGUAAUCCCAUCUACUCUGGAGGCCGAGGCAGGGAAAUUGCUUGAACCCGGGAGCUGGAGGUUGCAGUGAGCUGAGAUCACGCCACUGCACUCCAGCCUGGGCGACAGAGCAAGACUCUGUCUCAA
Molecule: non-coding RNA, 148 nt
Filed under: Gorilla gorilla gorilla (western lowland gorilla)
Lineage: Eukaryota; Metazoa; Chordata; Mammalia; Primates; Hominidae
Source: Rfam by way of RNAcentral